This 516-nucleotide ribosomal RNA is filed under the name Pseudopus apodus (scheltopusik). RNAcentral's name for it is "partial 16S ribosomal RNA". It matches the Rfam family "Bacterial large subunit ribosomal RNA", at positions 1851 to 2605 of the family's 2925-position model. The record is from RNAcentral. Lineage: Eukaryota; Metazoa; Chordata; Lepidosauria; Squamata; Anguidae.
GGUCCCGCCUGCCCAGUGACUGACCAUUAAACGGCCGCGGUAUCCUAACCGUGCAAAGGUAGCGUAAUCACUUGUCCCCUAAAUAGGGACUGGUAUGAACGGCUAAAUGAGGACUUGACUGUCUCCUUUAGUUAAUCAGUGAAAUUGAUCUACCCGUACAAAAGCUGGUAUAAACAUACAAGACGAGAAGACCCUGUGGAGCUUAAAACACCCAUGUCAAACCAACACUACACGCUAAAAUGACAUAACGUUUUCAGUUGGGGCGACUGCGGAAACAAGCCAAACUUCCAAGCCAAAGGCCUCCCCCUUCCUACCACAGACAGACAUGUCAAACCCACAUCUGACCCAGAAUCUCUCUGAGUGACGAACCAAGUUACCCCAGGGAUAACAGCGCUAUCUUCUUCAAGAGUCCCCAUCGACAAGAAGGUUUACGACCUCGAUGUUGGAUCAGGACACCCAAAUGGUGCAGCCGCUAUUAAAGGUUCGUUUGUUCAACGAUUAAAGUCCUACGUGAUC